AGUGACAUAUUUCAAUAUAAUCUCUAAAACUCUAUGAAUUGAACAGAUAAAAUACCUCUGGGCUAUUUUGUUACAAAAUAUUUGCCAUUUGGAUUAGUUGCUGGGUGUAGCCACCCUGCCUUUCCCUAGAGAGGUUUCUCUCCAAUGGGGUGAAGGGGCAUAUACGGGGGGUGGGGACGGCACAGCAAGAAAGUCCGUACAGCAGAAUACAGGGACAGAUGGACAGAUGGUUAUCGGGGAAGCCUAUUGGACACAAAGAGACAUUCUGGCAGGCUAUGGGGGAACAGUGCGGUGCGACGUCAAGGAUUUCAGGGGUCGAGGGCCCAGGGCUGAUCAAUACAUGUGCCUUGGGAGGCAGGCUUCCAGCUCAAGCUGUCAGGCCAGGGUCUUGCUCCAGGUCUGGUGUGGGACUUGCCCAAAACUGGGUGGGAAAGCUAGUUAUAGUUCCCACUCCUGGUUCUGGGGUUGGGACCAGAGGGAUAAAAUUGAGAUAGGGACCUAGGUCCCCUAAAUAAGGCCUAGAGAGUUGAUCCAGUGGGGCCACUCCGGGUGGUGUAACUGGGCACGUACCCAGGAUGCUGUGCCUGGGGGCCCAGUUGGCACUCCGCUGGCCCCACUGCCUUGGCGAGGAGAGCCCAAGUGUGUCUCUAGCCAGGCCCCCUGGGAGGGCUGGGCCUUGGUGUGGCUGCUGGAGUGGGAGGCUCAUCCUAAGCCUUUGGGGAUGAGGCUCUGGGGACAGGGACAGUGGUGGGUCCCAACCUUAGUCUGUUGGCUGAUCAGGGAAGGGCAGUUAUAGAUAGUGGGAACUCUUGCAUCCCCAACAGUGAGGGGAGCCAUCAGGGAUUAGAAGCCCCUCACAGCUCAGACCAGGCCUCCCAGUGCUGCCAGUGGGGCUCAGGGAAGCCACCACAAUGACGGGGUGAGCUCCUCCCUGGAGUAGGGACCCUGAGAUGCCUGAGCAUCUGGGUCCUCAGCCUCUGCUGAUCCUGACCUGGAAAGCCAAGGCUACAGCAGAUGUGGGAGGGAGGGGCCAGCUUAGCCUGCCUGUCAACAGGGGGAGGGCACUUUUCAAUGAGAAGCGCUGUGGAGCAGGUGACAGGGACCAGAUGGUUGCGACUGUCCCCCUUCUCGGUGGCCCCUGGCACUCAUGGUCCCCACCCUGUGGGGGUGGCCACACGUGGCCAUCUCAUAGCUCCUGUUCCUUCCUAAGGCAGCCUCUCUGACGCCCAGCAUAACGACUGCCCUCUUCCAGCAUCGUCCUUCGUUUGAGGAUUGGCCCCUCCCUCCUGGGUCCCUGACUCCUGCUGCCCAGGCCUGCACUUUUUAAGGGUGAUCCCUGCCUUAGCCAAGGGCAUCAGAGGUGACUGAAUCUGUGCGUCCCAUCUGUCAGCCACUCUGUCCCAAAAGGCUGUGACUGGAGCCACCUGUUACAGGGAAGACAUGAGAAAGGUGCCAGGCCCACGAGGAUGGGGCGGUCAGCUGGGCAGCCACCAUGGGAGGAGGUGGCAAAUUGGCCACAAGUUAUGGAAACCAGACUGACAAAGACAGAGCCAGAAAUAAACUCACUGGGUGACAUCAUAUGACGUCUGGGUGACUGCACACACACAUACGAAACUAGGUCAUCUGGAACCUCUGAGACUGGGGGAGGACUCUGUGCCUCCUAGCUGGCUCAGGGCGCUCCCUUUGGGGCAUGGAGUAGGCGUCAGGGAGAAGCAGAUUCACUUUAGACCCGGGCAGCACUCACCUCCAUCUCCUGGCAUGCUUUAUUAACGGGCUCCAAGGGAGGGGAUUUUAGCGCAGGACAGCAAUGAGCUCUUGGCACAGGACUGGAGAGACCAGCCUGGUCUGGGGCAGGCGCUUCCUGAAACGGCUGGGGUUGGGUUUGGGGCAGGCCACCGUCCUGCCUGAGGGCUUCGAGGCUUGGCUGCCUGGGCUCUAUGAGGAGCCUCCUAAAAGCUUGACUCUCUGAUUCUGGUUGGCCCUGGGAAGGUCAGUGAGCCCUGCUUGGCUCUCCUUUGCAAUUUUGAGGGUGUAGGGGCUCUUUCAGCCACUCCUACUGAAAGCAGGCCUGGCGCCUUCCUGGAGGAGACAUGGGGAGGAGGAUUUAAAGGCUGAUGGGCUAGUUUGGGACAGCAGCAAGAGGAAUCCAAGUGCCUCUGGAGCACCUGCUUCUCUUGCCUGCUUCUGCCUCCAAAUCUUUCAUGGAGGCUGUGGAAGUCAUUCAAAAAGGAGCCCUGACUUGGAUCCAAAUCCUACCUGUCCUGGGCAGAUCACCGCUUCUCCCUGUUUCUGCUUCCACAUUGGAAGAACCUGGUUUUUCUGAGUGUGUUUCCAUCUAGACUCUGCACACUCUGCAUUGGCUGGGGCUAGAAAACUAAGAAACCCUUUUGAAAGUUGCGUACGUGACCUCACAAUUCCACAGCUCUGCUGACUUAAUCUCGAGAGAGCUGAGAGUGGUCCCCCUUACCCUCUUAACUUCCUCAGAACUUUCCUGAAGUCUGAGAAGCCCUGGAUAGGCAGGGCCCAGCUCCUGAGAAGGCGGGAGAAGGCCCUGGGAGGAGGGUAAGGAUGUGGUCAGGACAGCUGAUAUCCCUGGGGGGUGGAGGAUCAGUUGCCUGAGACUCCUGGCCCUGAGGGUGCAGCAGAGAAAACCUCCCACCCCUCGUGCCUCCCCACCUGGCCUGAGGCCCAGGGCCUGACAGUCUCAGGGCCAGGAAGCUGGUUAGGCUCUUGGCUCCUGCCUUCUGCAGUACAUGGUCUAGGUGGCCAGAGUGGUAGUAGGGAAGAGGAGGCCUGGAUGCACCUUGCUGUGGAGGGCCCCAGGAGAGUGAGGUGGUGUCUCCAGAUUAGGGGCAAGGGGUGCUUGGCAGACUAAGGGAAGCAUGGUUGGGUGAGGCAAACCCAGGUGCCAGGGAUUGAGAUUCUCUUUCCAAAACGAUCACCAGUGACCAGAAGUGCAUCGUGCCAGGGCGUGGGAAGCAGCGAGCAAAGGGGCAGUUGGGGCUGCUGGGUGCAGCUGAGGGUGCUCCCAGGCUCCGGCAGCCGGCCUUCCCGGGACAGCAGCAUGGGGAGGACAGAGUCUACACCAGGCUCCUGGAGCCGCUGGAGUAGCGGCGUCGGUGCAGCAGGGACCCGGGUGGGCAGUACUGGUGGGGGUGGUUGUAGGGGGGAGGGGGCGGGGGCAGUGGAGGCUGGUGGAUGACCUUGACCGGGGAGCCUGGGCCACCCAAGGGCGUGGAGCCACAGGAGUCAGAGGAGGACGAGGCGUAGCAGGAGAGGGCCUGGCUCAGCAGGGGCUCCAUGCGGGCCAAGCAGGGCUUGUCCAGGACAAUGACCUUGACAAUCUGCUGGCACUGCACCAGGGUCCCGGGGGGUGUGGGUGGCGGUGGCAGCGGCGGGGGCUGCUC
RNAcentral lists this long non-coding RNA (3407 nucleotides) under Canis lupus familiaris (dog). RNAcentral's name for it is "lncRNA (ENSCAFG00000053269.1)". The record is from RNAcentral. Lineage: Eukaryota; Metazoa; Chordata; Mammalia; Carnivora; Canidae.